GAUGAACGCUAGCGACAGGCCUAACACAUGCAAGUCGAGGGGCAGCAUAAAGGUAGCAAUACUUUGGUGGCGACCGGCGCACGGGUGAGUAACACGUAUGCAACCUACCUGUAAGAGGGGAAUAACCCGGAGAAAUUCGGACUAAUACCGCAUAAUACUGAUUAUCUGCAUGGAUUGAUCAGUUAAACAUUUAUGGCUUACAGAUGGGCAUGCGUAUGAUUAGAUAGUUGGUAGGGUAACGGCCUACCAAGUCAACGAUCAUUAGGGGUUCUGAGAGGAAGGUCCCCCACACUGGUAAUGAGACACGGACCAGACUCCUACGGGAGGCAGCAGUGAGGAAUAUUGGUCAAUGGGCGAGAGCCUGAACCAGCCAAGUCGCGUGAAGGAAGAAGGUUCUAUGGAUUGUAAACUUCUUUUGUAAGGGAAUAAAAAGAGUUACGUGUAACUUAUUGUAUGUACUUUACGAACAAGGAUCGGCUAACUCCGUGCCAGCCGCCGCCGUAA
This 504-nucleotide ribosomal RNA is filed under the name uncultured bacterium. Its description in RNAcentral is "partial 16S ribosomal RNA". It matches the Rfam family "Bacterial small subunit ribosomal RNA", at positions 28 to 523 of the family's 1533-position model. The record is from RNAcentral.